This 330-nucleotide ribosomal RNA is filed under the name uncultured bacterium. RNAcentral's name for it is "bacterial SSU rRNA". It matches the Rfam family "Bacterial small subunit ribosomal RNA", at positions 8 to 334 of the family's 1533-position model. The record is from RNAcentral.
AGGGUUUGAUUCUGGCUCAGAUUGAACGCUGGCGGCAGGCCUAACACAUGCAAGUCGAGCGGUAACAGGAGAAAGCUUGCUUUCUUGCUGACGAGCGGCGGACGGGUGAGUAAUGUAUGGGGAUCUGCCCGAUAGAGGGGGAUAACUACUGGAAACGGUGGCUAAUACCGCAUAAUGUCUACGGACCAAAGCAGGGGCUCUUCGGACCUUGCACUAUCGGAUGAACCCAUAUGGGAUUAGCUAGUAGGUGGGGUAAAGGCUCACCUAGGCGACGAUCUCUAGCUGGUCUGAGAGGAUGAUCAGCCACACUGGGACUGAGACACGGCCCAG